This 482-nucleotide ribosomal RNA is filed under the name uncultured bacterium. RNAcentral describes it as "bacterial SSU rRNA". It matches the Rfam family "Bacterial small subunit ribosomal RNA", at positions 28 to 497 of the family's 1533-position model. The record is from RNAcentral.
GAUGAACGCUAGCUACAGGCUUAACACAUGCAAGUCGAGGGGCAGCAUGGACUCAGCUUUGCUGAGUUUGAUGGCGACCGGCGCACGGGUGAGUAACGCGUAUCCAACCUGCCCUUUACUCCGGGAUAGUCUCCUGAAAGGGAGUUUAAUACCGGAUGUGUUUGUUUUUCCGCAUGGGAGCGACAAAUAAAGAUUAAUUGGUAAAGGAUGGGGAUGCGUCCCAUUAGCUUGUUGGCGGGGUAACGGCCCACCAAGGCAACGAUGGGUAGGGGUUCUGAGAGGAAGGUCCCCCACAUUGGAACUGAGACACGGUCCAAACUCCUACGGGAGGCAGCAGUGAGGAAUAUUGGUCAAUGGGCGAGAGCCUGAACCAGCCAAGUAGCGUGAAGGACGACGGCCCUACGGGUUGUAAACUUCUUUUAUAAGGGAAUAAAGUUCGCCACGUGUGGUGUUUUGUAUGUACCUUAUGAAUAAGCAUCGGC